AUGAGAUUACUCAUGGAAAGAAGCCACCCCAAUAGAAGCAUCCCGUUGCUUCCUCAACGGCCGAAGCAGGAGCAGGAGCUACGUAGGGCGCCGCCCAGCCCGGGCUGGACGAAGUUAAACACUGAUGGUAGUUAUGUCCCUGCUACAGGUGUUGUAGGAGGGGGCAUGGUCCUCCGCGAUGAUAGAGGAGAGAUCAUCUUCAGUGCGUGUAGGGAGAUGCGCACAUGUGAUAACAGCCUGCAUGCGGAACUUACAGCAUGUAGAGAAGGCUUGGAAUUGGCUUUGCAUCGGACCAACUUACCCAUCGUGGUGGAGCUGGAUAGUGUGGAAGCGGUCACGAGGCUUACAACACAUGUGAUGGACCGCUCACAACACCGUGCUCUAGUUGACGAGAUCCUGAGGAUAGUUACGUCAGAGGAUAGGGAGAUUCUUUUUACUCACUGUAGACGAUCUCAGAAUAAAGUUAGUCAUGAGUUGGCCGCAUAUGGCCGUAAUACCCCCCGCACUAUAGUGUGGUUGCGCUCAGGGUUGGAAUUUGUUGUAAACCUAUCAAAGGAUGAUAAGCCUCCUUGA
RNAcentral lists this ribosomal RNA (573 nucleotides) under Triticum aestivum (bread wheat). RNAcentral's name for it is "partial small subunit ribosomal RNA". Lineage: Eukaryota; Viridiplantae; Streptophyta; Magnoliopsida; Poales; Poaceae. The record is from RNAcentral.